CCANUNUUGANNCCCNACCAACGGCGUCNUGAAGCGGCAAAAGCUCAAAUUUGAAAUCCUGCGGGAAUUGUAAUUUGAAGGUUUCGUGGUCUGAGUCGGCCGCGCCCAAGUCCAUUGGAACAUGGCGCCUGGGAGGGUGAGAGCCCCGUAUGGCGCACGCCGACUCUUUGUACCCCGCGUCCGACGAGUCGAGUUGUUUGGGAAUGCAGCUCUAAGUGGGUGGUAAAUUCCAUCUAAAGCUAAAUAUUGGCGAGAGACCGAUAGCGAACAAGUACAGUGAUGGAAAGAUGAAAAGCACUUUGAAAAGAGAGUGAAACAGCACGUGAAAUUGUUGAAAGGGAAGGGCUUGCAAGCAGACACGGUUUUACCGGGCCAGCGUCGAAAAGGGGGGAGGAACAAGAACUCGAGAAUGUGGCGCGCACCUUCGGGCGCGCGUGUUAUAGCUCGUGUUGACGCCUCCAUCCCUUUUCGAGGCCUGCGAUUCUAGGACGCUGGCGUAAUGGUUGCAAGCCGCCCGUCUUGGAAACACGGACC
This 534-nucleotide ribosomal RNA is filed under the name Clavispora lusitaniae. Its description in RNAcentral is "eukaryotic LSU rRNA". It matches the Rfam family "Eukaryotic large subunit ribosomal RNA", at positions 65 to 667 of the family's 3401-position model. The record is from RNAcentral. Lineage: Eukaryota; Fungi; Ascomycota; Pichiomycetes; Serinales; Metschnikowiaceae.